AUUGCACGCUGGCGGCAGGCCUAACCCAUGCAAGUCGAACGAGUGGCGGACGGGUGAGUAAUGUCUGGGAACCUGCCUGAUGGAGGGGGAUAACUACUUGAAACGGUAGCUAAUACCGCAUACCAUCGGAUGUGCCCAUAUGGGAUUCGCUAGUAGGUGGGGUAACGGCUCACCUAGGCGACGAUCCCUAGCUGGUCUGAGAGGAUGACCAGACACCAUGGAACUGAGACACGGUCCAGACUCCUACGGGAGGCAGCAGUGGGGAAGAUUGCACAAUGGGCGCAAGCCUGAUGCAGCCAGGCCGCGUGUGUGAAGAAGGCCUUCGGGUUGUAAAGCACUUUCAGCGGGGAGGCGUUACCCGCAGAAGAAGCACCGGCUAACUCCGUGCCAGCAGCCGCGGUAAUUC
This 406-nucleotide ribosomal RNA is filed under the name uncultured bacterium. RNAcentral describes it as "partial 16S ribosomal RNA". It matches the Rfam family "Bacterial small subunit ribosomal RNA", at positions 30 to 526 of the family's 1533-position model. The record is from RNAcentral.